UACGAAGGGGGCUAGCGUUGCUCGGAAUGACUGGGCGUAAAGGGCGCGUAGGCGGAUGGCACAGUCAGAUGUGAAAUUCCUGGGCUCAACCUGGGGGCUGCAUUUGAUACGUGUGGACUAGAGUGGGGAAGAGGGUCGUGGAAUUCCCAGUGUAGAGGUGAAAUUCGUAGAUAUUGGGAAGAACACCGGUGGCGAAGGCGGCGACCUGGUCCUUGACUGACGCUGAGGCGCGAAAGCGUGGGGAGCAAACAGG
RNAcentral lists this ribosomal RNA (253 nucleotides) under uncultured bacterium. RNAcentral describes it as "partial 16S ribosomal RNA". It matches the Rfam family "Bacterial small subunit ribosomal RNA", at positions 524 to 776 of the family's 1533-position model. The record is from RNAcentral.